ACAGCAGUCGCCGCGGGAAUACAGAGGGUGCGAGCGUUAAUCGGAUUUACUGGGAGUAAAGCGUGCGUAGGCGGCUUCUUAAGUCGGAUGUGAAAUCCCUGAGCUUAACUUAGGAAUUGCAUUCGAUACUGGGAAGCUAGAGUAUGGGAGAGGAUGGUAGAAUUCCAGGUGUAGCGGUGAAAUGCGUAGAGAUCUGGAGGAAUACCGAUGGCGAAGGCAGCCAUCUGGCCUAAUACUGACGCUGAGGUACGAAAGCAUGGGGAGCAAACAGGAUUAGAUACCCCCGUAGUCCCUGUCUCUUAUAC
RNAcentral lists this ribosomal RNA (305 nucleotides) under uncultured bacterium. RNAcentral describes it as "partial 16S ribosomal RNA". It matches the Rfam family "Bacterial small subunit ribosomal RNA", at positions 508 to 807 of the family's 1533-position model. The record is from RNAcentral.